CCUACGGGGGGCAGCAGUGAGGAAUAUUGGUCAAUGGACGAGAGUCUGAACCAGCCAAGUAGCGUGAAGGAUGACUGCCCUAUGGGUUGUAAACUUCUUUUAUAUGGGAAUAAAAUGUUCCACGUGUGGGAUUUUGUAUGUACCAUAUGAAUAAGGAUCGGCUAACUCCGUGCCAGCAGCCGCGGUAAUACGGAUGAUCCGAGCGUUAUCCGGAUUUAUUGGGUUUAAAGGGAGCGUAGGUGGAUUGUUAAGUCAGUUGUGAAAGUUUGCGGCUCAACCGUAAAAUUGCAGUUGAAACUGGCAGUCUUGAGUACAGUAGAGGUGGGCGGAAUUCGUGGUGUAGCGGUGAAAUGCUUAGAUAUCACGAAGAACUCCGAUUGCGAAGGCAGUUCACUGGACUGCAACUGACACUGAGGCUCGAAAGUGUGGGUAUCAAACAGGAUUAGAUACCCCUGUAGUC
This 460-nucleotide ribosomal RNA is filed under the name uncultured bacterium. RNAcentral describes it as "partial 16S ribosomal RNA". It matches the Rfam family "Bacterial small subunit ribosomal RNA", at positions 338 to 795 of the family's 1533-position model. The record is from RNAcentral.